AACGCACAUUGCGCUUCGUGGUAUUCCGCGGAGCAUGCUCGUUUCAGAAUCAUUAAAAAACUCACAGCCUGUGGAAUGUUGUCGGGUUUUUACUCCUUGUGGGUAUAACCUGCGGCAUUACCACCGGCCUGUAGGAUAUGGGCACUUUGGAUAUCAUAGCCAAUUGCCUUAAAGUUAGUGAGUGCGUGACUUUUUGUUAAUUUGCCGACCCUCAGUGCAACAGCUUUAGAUUCACUCCUGGGCACAAAUUGGGAGUCACCACCUGUAAAGAACACAGAGCUGUUGAGCAGCAAUGCUCUCCAGCUCUGACAACUUGGUCUGAAAUCGAGCAAGAAAACCCGCUGAACUUAA
Molecule: unclassified non-coding RNA, 351 nt
Filed under: uncultured Spizellomycetales
Lineage: Eukaryota; Fungi; Chytridiomycota; Chytridiomycetes; Spizellomycetales
Description: sequence contains ITS2
Source: RNAcentral